AUCUGCCCCCAUGCCAUGAUUCACCAGCAAAGGGAAACCAAACCAAAUUCGCCGGUCACGCCGUGAACCAGGGACUAAAGGGCAACGCCAUGCCACAAGGAGCCGCAGCCGGGUCAGCUGCGCCUCCUCUUCCACCAGGAUACAUGCAGAAACCAGCGACCUCUGUUGUCUGUCCUCCUGGCCUUGAGUACC
Molecule: long non-coding RNA, 192 nt
Organism: Dermacentor silvarum
Lineage: Eukaryota; Metazoa; Arthropoda; Arachnida; Ixodida; Ixodidae
Exons: 3
Source: RefSeq, a predicted model, not a curated record